CCUACGGGAGGCUGCAGUGAGGAAUAUUGGUCAAUGGACGAGAGUCUGAACCAGCCAAGUAGCGUGAAGGAUGACUGCCCUAUGGUUUGUAAACUUCUUUUAUAUGGGAAUAAAACGUUCCACGUGUGGGAUUUUGUAUGUACCAUAUGAAUAAGGAUCGGCUAACUCCGUGCCAGCAGCCGCGGUAAUACGGAGGAUCCGAGCGUUAUCCGGAUUUAUUGGGUUUAAAGGGAGCGUAGGUGGAUUGUUAAGUCAGUUGUGAAAGUUUGCGGCUCAACCGUAAAAUUGCAGUUGAAACUGGCAGUCUUGAGUACAGUAGAGGUGGGCGGAAUUCGUGGUGUAGCGGUGAAAUGCUUAGAUAUCACGAAGAACUCCGAUUGCGAAGGCAGUUCACUGGACUGCAACUGACACUGAGGCUCGAAAGUGUGGGUAUCAAACAGGAUUAGAUACCCCUGUAGUC
RNAcentral lists this ribosomal RNA (460 nucleotides) under uncultured bacterium. RNAcentral's name for it is "partial 16S ribosomal RNA". It matches the Rfam family "Bacterial small subunit ribosomal RNA", at positions 338 to 795 of the family's 1533-position model. The record is from RNAcentral.